This is a non-coding RNA of Picea glauca (white spruce), 121 nucleotides long. The record is from Rfam. Lineage: Eukaryota; Viridiplantae; Streptophyta; Pinopsida; Pinales; Pinaceae.
ACAUGCCUACAAUAUAGCAUCAAUGCACCGGAUCCCAUUAAAACUUCGUAGUUAGGCACGCUCAGGAUAAAGUAGUACUAGGAUGGGUGACUACUCGAGAAGUCAUAGUGUUUUACAUGCC